Dermacentor albipictus is the source of this 642-nucleotide non-coding RNA. The record is from RefSeq and is a predicted model, not a curated record. NCBI's taxonomy places the organism in Eukaryota, Metazoa, Arthropoda, Arachnida, Ixodida, Ixodidae.
AGUGGCGACUACAUGCAAUCCGGAAGCGGGUGUGGACGUGGGAUGAAGUAACCAGGGAGAUGCAGCAAAUGAAGGAUAUGUAUGCAACACUUAUACAGGCGCACUGAACCGUUACGAACCGUGAUUAUGAACCGUGCUCCUGCGGCGGCUACGUCUGGUGCGGCGGCGCGGCCCGUACCUGGAAAGCGAUCUCCGAAAGCGGCCGAGUGCGUCAUGUGCUGAGAGCUCCGUGAGCGCUGUGUUCUCGCGGCUUCGCUGGCGUUGGAGCGGGAGGCAGCACGCCGGGGCAUUCGCUCGCUGCUGCUGGUGCUACAUCGAGAGCAGGGACGGACGUAGCAACGGUUUUUCCGUUGGGUCGUCUGGCUCUGCGACGAACCAACCGCCGACUGGCAGCUGGGAGGCACUGGAAGCGACGCCAGAGACGCCAGUGUUGGGAACAGGUCCACCAAUGCCACUGGGUCGUCGACACGUUCCGCCGCUUUUCCUGGUGUUGAGCUUCUUUGGGACCUCGGCGGUGACACGAUCAAGGGUGUCAUUGGAAUAAAGGCCAGAAAAGCAUCGGUCACUGUAGAGGUGUUGGAAGUCUUGAGCUGUGCGUUGCACAUGACACAUCGGCGGUCACCACUUUGCCCCAUGUGCACG